Myodes glareolus (Bank vole) is the source of this 1184-nucleotide non-coding RNA. NCBI's taxonomy places the organism in Eukaryota, Metazoa, Chordata, Mammalia, Rodentia, Cricetidae. The record is from RefSeq and is a predicted model, not a curated record.
GAAGCGGUCCAAUGGUAAAGAUGGGAUCACUCACCCUGUCCACAAAGCCCCAGCGAGGAAACCCCACACCCACAACGCAGAUCUCACAGGCACAAUAUUACAAAGCACUUCCAGACUGCUAGAGAUAGGCACACACACACACUUCCUUCCUCCCCCAGUAACUUGUAAGCAGCAUUUACAUGCUAGGGACCCGUUAUGCACUCAGUUAUGAGACUCCAAUUCUUCGUCUCAACUCCCUUUCUCUGGUUCUUACACACUGACUUGGGGCUAUCACAGGUGGACUUGCUAACUUAGGAAACGACCCUUCACGCCAAAACUCUCCUGCGACUGAUAGAAAAUCUUCAACAUCCAUCUUGUGCUUGAUAAGGGAUGUUACUUACAGAUAAGACUAGGAUUGGUCCAGCUCCAGUUCACAUCCUUUGACCCCCCUGCCCCCACCCCAAUUCAGUUUCUACUGUCAGGCUAAAAGGUGCUUCUGCGGUGCCCCCACAGUGCCCCUACAGUCACGCAAUGCCACGGCGUGACUAAGAAAUGUCAGUCCCAGGGAAGCCUGAUCUUCACGCACGUCCACCAAUCCCCACUUGGCCCCCUGAAAGAUCCCACAAACCACAGCUGCCAGCAGUCCAGACACCCCAGCACCAACUGCACCUCCACACGCCUCAGGCACCUGACAGAGCUCAGGUACCUUCCUCAUCUUCCCCGAGACUCUGAGGACUCAAGGACAGAGGGACACAAUGGAAUUCCAUCUUGACCGGCCUUCAUGCAUGUAUAUGCUCCCAACUCAAUGCCCAGGCCACCCUGCCGCAGUGCUAUGAUCCCCAGGAAGAGCAGUCUCCUGUCAGCCCCUCCCAGAGCUGGAAUGACGUUCAAAUACAAAACUUUCCAGACACAAAGAAUUUUCAAGGAAGGGUGAGCGCCCUCCUACCCCACCCCCCACCUCGACAGCUGCACACGGAACAUAACCCCAUCACUCAGUCCCACCUGAAGAGCAAUGGACCCCUGAUGGAGGGUCGACAGACACCCCAAGGAGCCUCCUUUGAAACAGAGUUGUCCCCAGCAUCCUUGGCUGCAAGUUCCAUCCUGUCAUGGGGCUUUCACUACCACUCCCUCUGCUGAAAAUGACUGGGUUCCAGAACUUCGCAAAGCUUCUGACUUCCUGUCCACCCAUCACAUACAAGCAUUAA